CGAUCAAGUAGACAGAAACAA
This 21-nucleotide non-coding RNA is filed under the name Caenorhabditis elegans. Lineage: Eukaryota; Metazoa; Nematoda; Chromadorea; Rhabditida; Rhabditidae. The record is from RNAcentral.